This 450-nucleotide ribosomal RNA is filed under the name uncultured bacterium. Its description in RNAcentral is "partial 16S ribosomal RNA". It matches the Rfam family "Bacterial small subunit ribosomal RNA", at positions 338 to 795 of the family's 1533-position model. The record is from RNAcentral.
CCUACGGGGGGCAGCAGUAGGGAAUAUUGGACAAUGGGCGCAAGCCUGAUCCAGCCAUCCCGCGUGAAGGAUUAAGGUCCUAUGGAUUGUAAACUUCUUUUCUCUGGGAAUAAAAACCGGUAUUUAUAUCGGCUUGAAGGUACCAGAGGAAUAAGCACCGGCUAACUCCGUGCCAGCAGCCGCGGUAAUACGGAGGGUGCAAGCGUUACCCGGAUUCACUGGGUUUAAGGGGUGCGUAUAAGUCUGUAUAGAAAGCCCGGAGCUUAACUCCGGAACUGCCAUUGAUACUGUUUAGCUUGAAUCAUCUUGAAGUGGAUGGAAUAUUACAUGUAGCGGUGAAAUGCUUAGAUAUGUAAUAGAACACCGAUUGCGAAGGCAGUUCACUAAGGUUGUAUUGACACUGAGGCACGAAAGCGUGGGGAUCAAACAGGAUUAGAUACCCCUGUAGUC